GUCCACACAGUAAACGAUGAAUACUCGCUGUUUGCGAUAUACAGUAAGCGGCCAAGCGAAAGCAUUAAGUAUUCCACCUGGGGAGUACGCCGGCAACGGUGAAACUCAAAGGAAUUGACGGGGGCCCGCACAAGCGGAGGAACAUGUGGUUUAAUUCGAUGAUACGCGAGGAACCUUACCCGGGCUUAAAUUGCAAAUGAAUUAUGGGGAAACCCAUACGCCGCAAGGCAUUUGUGAAGGUGCUGCAUGGUUGUCGU
This 257-nucleotide ribosomal RNA is filed under the name uncultured bacterium. RNAcentral describes it as "partial 16S ribosomal RNA". It matches the Rfam family "Bacterial small subunit ribosomal RNA", at positions 793 to 1055 of the family's 1533-position model. The record is from RNAcentral.